Molecule: ribosomal RNA, 318 nt
Filed under: uncultured bacterium
Lineage: Bacteria
Description: bacterial SSU rRNA
Rfam family: Bacterial small subunit ribosomal RNA
Source: RNAcentral
GAGUUUGAUCAUGGCUCAGAUUGAACGCUGGCGGCAGGUCUAACACAUGCAAGUCGAGCGGUAACAUUUCAAAAGCUUGCUUUUGAAGAUGACGAGCGGCGGACGGGUGAGUAAUGCCUAGGGAACUGCCCAGUCGAGGGGGAUAAUAGUUGGAAACGACUGCUAAUACCGCAUACGCCCCACGGGGGAAAAGAGGGGCUCUUCGGACCUUCUGCGAUUGGAUGUACCUAGGUGGGAUUAGCUAGUAGGUGAGGUAAUGGCUCACCUAGGCGACGAUCCCUAGCUGUUCUGAGAGGAUGAUCAGCCACACUGGGACUG